GCGGACGGGUGAGUAACGCGUGGGAACGUACCCUUUGGUUCGGAAUAGCCCCUGGAAACGGGGAGUAAUACCGGAUGAGCUCUUCGGAGGAAAGAUUUAUCGCCAAGGGAUCGGCCCGCGUUGGAUUAGGUAGUUGGUGGGGUAAUGGCCUACCAAGCCGACGAUCCAUAGCUGGUUUGAGAGGAUGAUCAGCCACACUGGGACUGAGACACGGCCCAGACUCCUACGGGAGGCAGCAGUGGGGAAUCUUAGACAAUGGGGGAAACCCUGAUCUAGCCAUGCCGCGUGAGCGAUGAAGGCCUUAGGGUUGUAAAGCUCUUUCGCCUGGGAAGAUAAUGACGGUACCAGGUAAAGAAGCCCCGGCUAACUCCGUGCCAGCAGCCGCGGUAAUACGGAGGGGGCUAGCGUUGUUCGGAAUUACUGGGCGUAAAGCGCGCGUAGGCGGAUCGGGAAGUUGGGGGUGAAAUCCCGGGGCUCAACCCCGGAACUGCCUUCAAAACUACCGGUCUUGAGUUCGAGAGAGGUGAGUGGAAUUCCGAGUGUAGAGGUGAAAUUCGUAGAUAUUCGGAGGAACACCAGUGGCGAAGGCGGCUCACUGGCUCGAUACUGACGCUGAGGUGCAAAAGUGUGGGGAGCAAACAGGAUUAGAUACCCUGGUAGUCCACACCGUAAACGAUGAAUGCCAGACGUCGGGCAGCAUGCUGUUCGGUGUCACACCUAACGGAUUAAGCAUUCCGCCUGGGGAGUACGGCCGCAAGGUUAAAACUCAAAGGAAUUGACGGG
Molecule: ribosomal RNA, 783 nt
Filed under: uncultured bacterium
Lineage: Bacteria
Description: bacterial SSU rRNA
Rfam family: Bacterial small subunit ribosomal RNA
Source: RNAcentral